GCCAGAUCUGGUGGUGCACACCUGUAAUCCCAGUGACUUGGGAGGCUGAGGCAGGAGGAUCAUAAGUUUGAGGUCAAAUUCAGCAAACUAAUGAGGUCUUAAGCAACUUAACAAGAUCCUGUCUCAA
Molecule: small RNA, 127 nt
Filed under: Marmota monax (woodchuck)
Lineage: Eukaryota; Metazoa; Chordata; Mammalia; Rodentia; Sciuridae
Source: RNAcentral